This 1281-nucleotide long non-coding RNA is filed under the name Phasianus colchicus (ring-necked pheasant). RNAcentral's name for it is "lncRNA (ENSPCLG00000003012.1)". The record is from RNAcentral. Lineage: Eukaryota; Metazoa; Chordata; Aves; Galliformes; Phasianidae.
GGGACUUCCUCCUGAAACUGUACUAUGUUAAUGCUUGUCUUUAUGGUGUUCUCCAAGUCUUCAGAAAGUGACGCAUUCUUGGAAGUUUUGAAUGGAUUAAGCAGAAAUGGAUGAGAGGAAUGAAUAUUUUCAAGUCCUACAGUUCACAGAAUUUCAGAGAUACUGAACAAGCUUAGCAGUAAGGAAUGCAUAGAGGGAAGAGGUGCUGAGGCAAAGUUCAGUCUGCUAACCACAGCUUUCAGUGGUGGCAAAUGGAGAAUUCACCAUUGGUAUGGUGAUGCAUGUGGCUCAGGGAAGAAACAAAAGAAAGUUUACUUGAAUACAGCUUAAAAUGAGUUCACUCUCAGCUUAUCUGAUUUGAUCAAUGGUGACUUAAUGCCAGACUUGCGGUGUUUCAGGUACUUUAAUUGAUUUUUUCACUUAUUGUGGGUCUGAAGGGAAUGGUUUCAUUGCUUAACCAGUAGAUUUCCUUAGGAUUCUCAUUUGUUUAGUCAAAAGAACCCUAUGACAGAUUUAAGGUAGUAGUUGGGCAUUUUUUUGUCAACUGAAUGCAUGUUCUGCUGCUGUUCGCUGGGAUAAUACAAUAUAAAGAGAGCUAUGGCUCUGGGGACCUGAAGUGAAGUAUAUUUGGCUGUAUGCUAUAAAUAUGCGCUACAACUGAGCACAAACUAGUUCUUUUAUGAUUCAUAAAUGCUUUAUAAUCCAUUUACUUAUUUAUUUAUUUUGGUUGCUCUCUGAGUCUAUAAGCAGUAGUGGCUGGUGACUGUGGUUAAGCAUCUACAGAGAUGCUUGCUGUCAUGGAACUCUAGGCUGAGGAGCCUCUGCUGCUGGUGUAUGGAGUUUGAAAACCUUUUAGCUUCAUAUCUCACUCUCAGCCCUUCUCCUUGCUGACUGCUCUGUAAGAGGCUCCUGGGGAAGAUCUUUAGUAUGACACAAAUAAGAGUUUCUGCCUUCAGCUCCCCUUUCCCCCUCAACCCCAGAAAAAAACAACCCUGACUCCUAAAACAAUUGAAUGAAGAAAUUUGUCAUGCUCAGCACUGUGCGGACAUAGACAGAAAAUAUUCCCAAAUAAUUUACCAUCUCUGCGCAAGAUGUAUGUGGAAAUGAAGGGCACAUUUCAUUGUUCAUUGCUGUUCACUGUGUAGCUUUUUUAAAGGUAUGUGAUUUCUGUGCUGGCCAUCAGUGCUCAUAUAAAAGGUUAUUCAGGAAAUAAUUAGCUGUGAAUGUGUUUGCUCCUGUGCAGAGGCCAUCUAUUGAAAUUGUAUACAAAUUAUCAAACUU